UGUGUUUAUAGCUAAGCUACUAUACUUUCAAAAGUAUGAAGGUUUCUGUACGUCUAAAUAAUUUUUGAUGAUGUUUUAUCCGACUCGGCAAUCGGCUCUGUUAAAUAUAAUUGAUAAUGUUAAAAUUAUCUAGAAACUAGCUUUUCUAAUUUUUUGACUUUGCUUAUCUAAUAAAUAAAUAUCCUCAAAAUGAACAGUUAAAAAUAAAAAUUUUAUAAAAAAUAGUGAUAAUAGGUUUAAAGUUUUAAAUCGAAAAUAUUAAUCUUACUCUUGAUGACAAAUAGAAUUUUUUGUUUAGGUUUUACCUAAUUCGGAUUGUUUACAUCGUCGAACUUACAAACGUACCACCUCAGUCAUUAAAAUAGUUAUUUUUGAGAAUUUGGCAAACAAUGUCAGAAAUUAUAAAAUUUAGCUUUAGAUAGUUUUAAUAGCGUAAAUUAUACUUAAUGUUGCAGAUUGUCGAAUCGUAUUUAUACUUAAUGUUGCAGAUUGUCGAAUCGAACGUCCUAUCAUCGAAAAUAAUUUGAAAGUAAGGAGACCUCCAUACUUUCGAAACCAUUUAUCUUGUCACUUAU
Molecule: long non-coding RNA, 575 nt
Filed under: Ananas comosus (pineapple)
Lineage: Eukaryota; Viridiplantae; Streptophyta; Magnoliopsida; Poales; Bromeliaceae
Description: long non-coding RNA (ACOM_LNC029700)
Source: RNAcentral